GGCUCAGGACGAACGCUGGCGGCGUGCCUAACACAUGCAAGUCGAGCGAGGAGAUUCCUUCGGGAUGAUCCUAGCGGCGGACGGGUGAGUAACACGUGGGCAACCUGCCUCAUAGAGAGGAAUAGCCUUCCGAAAGGGAGAUUAAUACCUCAUAACAUUGCAGUUUCGCAUGGAACAGCAAUUAAAGGAGUAAUCCGCUAUGAGAUGGGCCCGCGGCGCAUUAGCUAGUUGGUGAGGUAACGGCUCACCAAGGCGACGAUGCGUAGCCGACCUGAGAGGGUGAUCGGCCACAUUGGGACUGAGACACGGCCCAGACUCCUACGGGAGGCAGCAGUGGGGAAUAUUGCACAAUGGGGGAAACCCUGAUGCAAGCAACGCCGCGUGAGUGAUGACGGCCUUCGGGUUGUAAAGCUCUGUCUUCAGGGACGAUAAUGACGGUACCUGAGGAGGAAGCCACGGCUAACUACGUGCCAGCCGCAGC
RNAcentral lists this ribosomal RNA (481 nucleotides) under uncultured bacterium. RNAcentral's name for it is "bacterial SSU rRNA". It matches the Rfam family "Bacterial small subunit ribosomal RNA", at positions 21 to 518 of the family's 1533-position model. The record is from RNAcentral.